RNAcentral lists this non-coding RNA (398 nucleotides) under Trichomonas vaginalis G3. Its description in RNAcentral is "Eukaryotic small subunit ribosomal RNA". It matches the Rfam family "Eukaryotic small subunit ribosomal RNA", at positions 1 to 469 of the family's 1831-position model. Lineage: Eukaryota; Parabasalia; Trichomonadida; Trichomonadidae. The record is from Rfam by way of RNAcentral.
UACUUGGUUGAUCCUGCCAAGGAAGCACACUUAGGUCAUAGAUUAAGCCAUGCAAGUGUUAGUUCAGGUAACGAAACUGCGAAUAGCUCAUUAAUACGCUCAGAAUCUAUUUGGCGGCGACCAACAGGUCUUAAAUGGAUAGCAGCAGCAACUCUGGUGCUAAUACAUGCGAUUGUUUCUCCAGAUGUGAAUUAUGGAGGAAAAGUUGACCUCAUCAGAGGCACGCCAUUCGACUGAGUGACCUAUCAGCUUGUACUUAGGGUCUUUACCUAGGUAGGCUAUCACGGGUAACGGGCGGUUACCGUCGGACUGCCGGAGAAGGCGCCUGAGAGAUAGCGACUAUAUCCACGGGUAGCAGCAGGCGCGAAACUUUCCCACUCGAGACUUCGGAGGAGGUA